This 392-nucleotide long non-coding RNA is filed under the name Vigna radiata. Its description in RNAcentral is "long non-coding RNA (VRAD_LNC015846)". Lineage: Eukaryota; Viridiplantae; Streptophyta; Magnoliopsida; Fabales; Fabaceae. The record is from RNAcentral.
AAGCACACUGGUGUAUAAGGAUGUGUGUUUCUCACACUAGCAUCACAAGGUCACACAAUUCAACUUUGCCUUUCAUUUCUACCACAAUGAAUACAUUCACCUGCAAGUUUGCAUCACAAGGACUUUCAAGGCUUGUAUUUUGGUUGGGCUAAGAAAGAAUUUUGGUUUUUCUCGAUACAAAACACCUUUAGCUAAGAGAGCAUUCAAAUCAGCACAAGUCAACAUAAUCCUCUUCUUAACUUCAAGCAAUUAUAACCAAUUUUCAAUUCUCUUUCCAACUUUUCAUCUAUUGAUUCUUUUUCUUGAUUUUGUUCCUUAUUUUUCUUUUUCUUCGCAUUUUUCUUUUCGCUUUUCUUGUCAUUUUCUUUUUUUUUUGUAACCUCAACCACCCC